GGAAAUGAUACCGGGUUACAAAUAUACCUUUGACUUGAAAGAAGGUAAAAGUACAAACAUGACGCAAAAGCAAAUGCCAAGUCAGCGUGAACAGUACAGGGUUACUGUUCAUCUAUUUAUAGGCACGGGACGCAACCCAUGUAAAAUUACACCUAUGCCCUUUACAUCUGCUAAUAACUCUAUAACGAUUCAUCGAGGUCUGAACAGCCUUUUCAUCUUUAAGUCGGUUUCCCUUUCCGCUAUCAUGCCGAAGCUCUUCUACACACAGCUUCGGCUCCGCGCCAUCCUUCGUACCCCUUCUGUGCUUCUUCACGUUGUGGUUUUAACUCAUGUCCGAAGAUACCUGUUCACACAUUGUACUCCAGAAACAUUGUUAAAUCAUGUUUUUGAGGACCUUCGGAAGCCGAAGGCCCCCAAUAGUAGCCCCUCGCAAUAUUAAUUUGUUAGAAUGAUAAAUUCAGAUUGCGAUAUGGACGAAGGCCCCGAGCCGAAGGUCCGAAAAAACACCUUCCCUUUGCUAGAAUAGCAACAGCCACUGACAAGCGGGACCCUUCAGUUUUCGACGUACUCGGCAUAUAAAUAAGAGCAUAACGCGGAUUCAUUUGACACACUCCCUUGCCAUCUGCUUUUGCUUGCCCAAUUUUUAGCCCUUGCGCACCAACACUUUCUUGGCUUUGAGUUUUUAAGCUUCAUAUUCGAGAGCAGUUUUUCAGCACCUCUGAAGAUGUCUCAAGAUAAAAAAGCUGUUGCUGAAGUGAAACUGAGCCUUUCUGAAGAGAAGAAUCUUGGUUUUCUUGAAUUAAUGGCAAAGACAAAUACAGAGAAGAUUACCAGGGAGAUUUUGGAAGGCUUGUCUGAAGAUACUGGUGAUAGCGACAGUUUUGAUGUGGAAAGUGGUGGAGAAGACUCCGAAGAUCGACCCUAGCGACUAAGUCAUACAAUUUUUGGAAAAUCAACUAUUAAACAGAGUCAUCUUGAUAAUAUGAGGGGAAGAUAUUUUCGGUACAUGUCUAUUGUAAGGGCUGAUGACGGAGAGAGGACUGUGCCUACUCCCGAAGAGAAUGAAGUUGUGAUCUUCCGAAGCUUUUUUAAGGCUGGGCUUCGGUUUCCAUUAAGCAAAUUUGUGGUUGAGGUUUUAAAGAUUUAUCAAGUCUACCUACAUCAAAUUACGCCCGAAGCAAUCAUAAGAAUGGGAAUCUUUGUCUGGGCCAUGAGGAGCUAGGGCUUGGAGCCAAACACAAAAAGCUUUUGUAAUUUACAUGAGCUAGUAUAUGAGACGAAACCCUGGGGUAAAGAGCAAUAUCAUAACAAUUUUGGCUGUUAUAGCUUCGGUGCCCGCUCUGGGUCAAGUUGUCUCGUGCCAACUUUUCGGAAGAGAUGGCCCGGGGACUGGAUGAAGGAAUGGUUCCAUGUAAAAAACGAUUUGAAGGAACGAGAAGAUAUUAAAGAUAUCAUCAUGCGCCCUAUUUGGCAGCGUUUCGGACUCCGGAAACCGAAGGUGGAAAUGGAUGAAGCAGCCGAAGAAUGCCAGAGGGCCUUCGGCGUAGUCUGCUCUUUCAUCGGGACAAGAGAUUUAGUUCAAGAGCACGUGGCCUACAGGAUAUGGCCAUUGGUAGCUAACUGGGAAAUGCCGAAGGAAACCAUCAGCAACCCACACGAAGGUGGUCUGGUUCGACUAAAUUAUACCUUCAGGUUCGUAGAUCAAUUUAUCGAGCCAGACGAUGAUUGGUUGAAAUGCGUUGAAGCUACAAGUGAUGAAGUGCUCGGACCGUACUCAAAGGCAGAAGAUACUGCGCUAUCAGCGGCCUUUGGAGGCCAGAAAAAGAAGAGGCUGAACAGAGUUUUUGAUGCUAUCGGAUUUGUCUAUCCUGACUACCGUUACCCAAUACGGGGUCAAAAAAGAAAAGGUACAACUUCUGUGAAGGAAGUUGCUUCGGCCGCUCCUAGUGAGCCAACGCCGAAGAGAAAAAAGAUGAAGGUUCUUACGCACCGGCCACGCUAUAUUGAGCCGGCCACGGUGCCCGAGUUUGUCGGCGAGGCUUCUUCGGCUACUGAAGCCAAAAAACCUAUUCCUGCACAGAAAGCUGAAGAGCUGUCUGCAACACCAAAGGCUGAAAAAACUAAAGAGUCGAAAGCUGAAGGGACAAAAAUAUCAGAAAUUUUAAGCCCUUCGGCAGAAGUUGGAGUGCCACAAGCUCAGAAGGGUCCGGCUGUGACCCCCAAAAGGAAAAGGAUGGUUAAUGUUUUGGAUGUACUGGAGACAAUAAAGUCUUCAAGCUCUACGCCGAAAAAAGUUGCCGAUGCUCACAAAGCACAAAUUGAAACAACAGCCUCUGGAGGCGAAACUACAAAGCACCAGGCUGAAACCAAAACUGGACCUUCAGAGUUUGCCAAAGAAAAAUCCUUGGAAACCAAAGGAGAAAGUAGAAAGGAAACUUUAAAGCAAAUUCUGUCUGAAAAAACUCUUUCUUCAACCCCCGAAGCACCUUCCAAAUUGCCUGAUUAUAUUGUGCGACAUGCUUCGGGCAAAAUACUAUCUGAAGAAGAAAAACGAGAAGCUCAUCAUUAUGCCUAGAAAUUAAAAUAUCCGAAAGGGGCGUUGAUAUUCAAUGGCAGCGGAGAAGAAGACUUCUUGUAUUGUCUCCCAGACAGCAAGGAGAUCUCUGUCUGCCGGGAGAUGGCAAGAAGCUUCGGAUUCCCAACUCUAGAAGAUGGGCUUUCAGUUUUGUCAAAAGAUGAAUUGGCCGACAGCUUAGCAUACAACAGCUUAAAGGUGAGAAAAUACACUUUUUGCGUGGUUAAAAAUUCGUGUGUUUAUUUCUUAAUAUUACAUUCCUUUUGCAGGGCCUUAUUCUCAGCAAUGCCCUCAGAGCGCAAAAAAAGUGCCGAAGAUGAAGGGUGCACCAUAGCUUUAAACAACCUUCGUUCCGAAGUAAUUGAGCUAAGAAACGAAGGUCUUGAGAAAGAUAAAAUAUUAAAUUCAUUGGUAAAUAAAAUAAAAGAAGAUGAAGCUGCUUCCAAAGCCCAAGCUGAGGCCCAGAAGCGCGAAAUUGAGGAUCUUCGGAAACAGCUAGCCGAAGCUAAAGAAAAAUGCGCAGUUGCAGAAGCUAAACGAGAAAUUAGUGAACAAUGGACAAAUCAUUUAGAGAAAAACGUUGAAGAACUUCGUGCAUCCAAAGAAAGGUGUUAUGAAAAGUCUAUAGAGUGUGUUAAGAAAAUAAAAACUAGCUUCGCCAAUGUUGGCGCACUCUCUAACGAAGACAACUUCGCAAGAGGUGAUCCUGAAGGUCCAAUUGAUUGGAUCAGCAAUGAAGCUGAAGCUUUUGAGGAAGUUUUGAGUGGUCGCGGGGAUGUCUGCGCUUUCUCAGGUGCCCAAGGAAUUGUGGCUAUUUUGGAGUAAUCAGGCUGCGACCAUGUGAAAACUUUGGCCCAAGCCGAAGCUACUUUAAGUAUUGAAGAUACAAAAGACCCUUUGGCCGAAGCCAGCUUAGUGGGCGGAAAAUUCUUUACUGACAUCUGGGAGAAUGGUGGCCGAAAGAUGGCGCACGAGAUAAUAAAAAAGAGUGAAAAAGAUUCUCAUGGUACAAAAGAAGCGAUGAAGGCAGUUGAAAAAACUGCGGAACUAGAAAGAAGAUAGGUAUUGCUUAAUAACUUCUAACUUUAUGUUUUAUUUUUUACGACUCCAAACUUAUUUACGUUUUCUAUCACAGCUGAGCUAUCUCCUUCCCUAGAGCCCUUCGAGCCAACGGCCGACCCAGAAGCAAAGAGAGAGGAAGAAAUCACUAAAAUGGCCGAAGCUAUUUUAGAUGAAGCUGUUUCUCGACUGUUGAACGAAGCUGCGGAAGCAGUUUUGAAAGAAGAAUAGUUGUUAAUGUAAAAACAUUUGGAAUGUAAUAUUUGCUGAACAAAGUAUGUAAUAUUUUUAUAAUUUUGAAUGUAAUAUAUAAGUUGCUUGUAACUUAAUUCUUUACGAUGCAUGAAACUUUACAUACAUACCGUUUUUGAGCCUUCGGCGAAAAAAACACCUUCCCUUCUUUUCAUGCUUCGUGAAGAAUAUCCAUAUUUCAUAAAAACAUCCAAUCUUCGUAAAAUCAGUAAGCAAUAGAUCUUUUCAUGAUGAAGGUAUGCUUCUUCAAUAAUUAUUUUGUGCCUUGGCACUGCUUCUUUGAAACAAUCUUCGAAGAUCAACAUUGAACCCCCUUCUUGCGUCAUUGAUGCAAUAUGAUGUAUGAUGUUAUGCUAUGCAAAUGAUGUGAUGAUGUGAUGUUAUGCAAAAUGAUAUUUGUGUCGAAGAUCAGCGCUGACUUUUCGCUGCAAGCCUCCCUUAGGAGCUUCUUCGCCUUCUAUUUCGGCGGUAUCAGCGUUUAUUUUUCGUUGUAAGCAUCCCUUAGGAGCUUCUUCGCCUUCUAUUUCGGCGGUAUCAGCGUUUAUUUUUCGUUGUAAGCCUCCCUUAGGAGCUUCUUCGCCUUCUAUUUCGACGGUAUCAGCGUUUAUUUUUCGCUGUAAGCUCUGCAUUCCCUUUGGAACGACUUUUGAGCAGAAAACUUACGCUGCGCUCCCUUAGGAACGACUUUUUGUGGCUUCGGGAAACUUACGCUGCGUUCCUUAGAACGACUUUUUGUUAUUUCGGAGAUUCUCCUUGUAACCAUAAGUUCUUAUGCUUCGGCAACUUUUUUUUUGAACUCCGUUAUUCUGUGGAGAAGGUAUAUUUUUACUAUGGCAAAAACGAAGCUAUUACAAGAAAUUGAAAACGACAAAAAACACUUAGGCUUUCAAUAAUUGUUCCUUAUUAAAAAGAAAAUGAUACUGAAUGCAAAAAUUGUUGCCGAGGUAGGAUAUCUGUUAGUAAAUAUGCUUCGAUUCUGGCAUAGUACUAUUGACUGUGCGAGCUUCGGACUCCUCUCUGAAGUCUCGUUGGUGGUGAGUGUGCUGACUCCCUUCUGGCUGCUGACCUCGUUGCAUUGGUGGUGGAGGUGGAGGCUAUUGCCAAGAUGCCUGAGGUUGGCUUGCCGAAGCAACAGAAGCUGCAGGGUGGUUACCCACAUACUCUGGAAUAUACGGUGAGUGGUACGAAGCAGUAUGCAUAACUUGCUUCGGCUGGCUCUGUUGGGCUGCAGCUUCUGCUAUCUCUUUCUGUUUCUGGAUAGUGACAUGGCACAUCCUGGUAGUGUGGCCCUUGUCCUCACCACAGAAUAGGCAAUAAAUUUUUCUGGGUUGAUUCCCAAACCUUCCUCCGAAGCCCCUGGCGCCUCUGCCCCUUGGAGCUGGGGGCCGAGGAUAGCUCUGUUGCUGCCCCGAAGCCUGGGAGGAAUAUUGCGGCCUCUGCUGUUGACUUCCCCUGUCGUCAUUCUGAGUGGAAUGAAUUGAUCUGACAUGCCUAGGAUGGAUUCUCCCUCCGAAGCCCCUGGCCAUUUCGGAGAACCUGUAAGCUUCCUCCCUUCUCUGUCGAAAGUCAUUGUCAGCGCGGAUGUAUUCAUCCAUCUUCUGAAGCAGUUUCUCCAGGGUCUGAGGGGGUUUCCUGGCGAUGUAUUAGGCUGAAGGUCCUGGCCGAAGCCCCUUAAUCAUGGCCUCAAUGACAAUUUCAUUGGGCACUGUUGGCGCUUGUGCCCUCAGGCGCAAGAACCUUCAGACAUACGCUUGGAGGUAUUCUUCUUGAUCUUGCGUGCACUGGAACAAAGCUUGAGCGGUAACUGGCUUCGUCUGAAACCCUUGAAAACUAGUGACCAGCAUGUCCUUCAGCUUUUGCCAUGAUGUGAUUGUUCCUGGCCGAAGAGAGGAAUACCAGGUUUGUGCAACAUUUUUGACUGCCAUGACGAAAGAUUUCACCAUGACCACUGUGUUGCCUCCAUAGGAAGAUAUUGUUGCUUCGUAACUCAUCAGAAACUGCUUCGGAUCUGAGUGUCCGUCAUACAUGGGGAGCUGGGGUGGCUUGUAAGACGGAGGCCAAGGUGUAGCCUGCAAUUCUGCUGACAGAGGAGAAGCAUCAUCAAAAGCAAAAUUUCCAUGAUGAAAAUCCUCAUACCAGUCAUCCUCGUUGAAGAAGCCCUCUUCAUGAAGCUCUCUGUGCUGAGGCCUUCGGUUUUGCUCAUCUUGAGCAAGAUGACAAACUUCUUCAGAGGCUUCGUCUAUCUGCCUUUGUAGAUCAGCUAGCCGAGCCAUCUUUUUCUUCUUCCUUUGUACUUGCUGAUGGAGCAUCUCCAUAUUCCUGAUCUCUUGGUCCAAGUCGUCCUCCUGGGGCGUUGGACUGGUGGCCUUCCUCUUCUGGCUUCGGGCCUCUCGAAGAGAAAGGGUCUCCUGGUUCGGGUCCAGCGGCUGCAGAGCUGCAGCCCCUGUCGCUGAAGCUUUCUUUGGCGGCAUGACGAAGGUCGAUGCUUGCCGAAGGUGUUCGAAACUCAAAAAGUGGAAGUGAGUUCACCGGAGGUGGGAGCCAAUGUUGGGGACUUGUUCUCAAAUGCUAAGAGUUAAGAACAAGGCAACACAGAAAAUGUUAAACGUUAAAGCCCUUCGUCCUUCGAAGCAUUAUUUCACUUGGGAUAUAAUGAUUUUCGGACAAAGGUUAUGAAGGACAUACCUUCAUAAAUAUUACAUAUCAUAAUGAAGAAGGAAUUACAUGGAAUAUAAAAGAUAACAUAAACAGUUAUGUAUUAUUAUCAACUCAUUUCUAUUUUAUUGCUAUGGAAAAAUGGAAAUGAUAUCGGGUUACAAAUAUACCUUUGACUUGAAAGAAGGUAAAAGUACAAACGUGACGCAAAAGCAAAUGCCAAGUCAGCGUGAAUAGUACAGGGUUACUAUUCAUCUAUUUAUAGGCACGGGACGCAACCCAUGUAAAAUUACACCUAUGCCCUUUACAUCUGCUAAUAACUCUAUAACGAUUCAUCGAGGUCUGAACAGCCUUUUCAUCUUUAAGUCGGUUUCCCUUUCCGCUAUCAUGCCGA
RNAcentral lists this long non-coding RNA (6935 nucleotides) under Zea mays. RNAcentral describes it as "long non-coding RNA (ZMAY_LNC003816)". Lineage: Eukaryota; Viridiplantae; Streptophyta; Magnoliopsida; Poales; Poaceae. The record is from RNAcentral.